RNAcentral lists this ribosomal RNA (248 nucleotides) under uncultured bacterium. RNAcentral's name for it is "partial 16S ribosomal RNA". It matches the Rfam family "Bacterial small subunit ribosomal RNA", at positions 796 to 1041 of the family's 1533-position model. The record is from RNAcentral.
CACGCUGUAAACGAUCAAUACUAGGUGUGCGGGGACUGACCCCCUGCGUGCCGCAGUUAACACAAUAAGUAUUGCACCUGGGGAGUACGAUCGCAAGGUUGAAACUCAAAGGAAUUGACGGGGGCCCGCACAAGCGGUGGAUUAUGUGGUUUAAUUCGAAGCAACGCGAAGAACCUUACCAGGUCUUGACAUCCCGAUGACCGCUCUAGAGAUAGAGUUUUCCCUUCGGGGACAUUGGUGACAGGUGG